UACGUAGGGGGCAAGCGUUGUCCGGAGUUACUGGGCGUAAAGCGCACGCAGGCGGUCUCUUAAGUUUGGAGUGACAGUUGGUGGCUUAACUGCCAAAGUGCUUCGAAAACUGAGAGACUUGAGGGCUUCAGAGGGACACGGAAUUCCGGGUGGAGUGGUGAAAUGCGUAGAGAUCCGGAGGAACACCAAAGGCGAAGGCAGUGUCCUGGGGAGUACCUGACGCUCAGGUGCGAAAGCCAGGG
RNAcentral lists this ribosomal RNA (242 nucleotides) under uncultured bacterium. RNAcentral's name for it is "partial 16S ribosomal RNA". It matches the Rfam family "Bacterial small subunit ribosomal RNA", at positions 524 to 765 of the family's 1533-position model. The record is from RNAcentral.